Molecule: small nuclear RNA, 107 nt
Filed under: Salvator merianae (Argentine black and white tegu)
Lineage: Eukaryota; Metazoa; Chordata; Lepidosauria; Squamata; Teiidae
Source: RNAcentral
GCACUCACUUUGGAAGCACUUAUACUAAAACUGGAAUGAUACAGAGAAGGUUAGCAUGACCCCUAUGCAAGGAUAACACACAAAUUCGUGAAGCGGUCCAUAUUUUC